AUCAAAUCUUUUAGUGAUCGUGUUUCAUGACGAGUGGCGCUGUCAGCAGUACAUUGUUGUAAAGUUACCUGAUGAUUCGGAAGUCUCGUUGCGAAAAACUCGAAACUUACCUGUUCCCGAAUGCUGUAACUCACUGAUAGUGCAACUUUCAUACCAAUUGUCGAAUAAACGAGAACAAAACUAAAGGUAGCAGAAUGAGGGAAGAAAAAAAAAAGGAAGAAGGUGAGAGAACGGGCACCGCGCCAUAAAUCGUCGUUUAACCUUAAAAAUCGUCGUUGCUAAUGGACAUUUGCUGUCGAACCUCGAGAAAUCGUUGCGCUCAUAGCCGCGAGAAUUCUUUCAACGACAUUGUGCGAAGUGCCGCUCGACAAAGGAAGAAUAAAGACUUGUGUCUUACUGAUUAUCCAGUUCGUGUACUAUACUAUACUACGGCUUUAGAUACAUUCGAGUCAACCCCGACGAGAUAAAGCGUUUGUUUUGCGCAUGCUUGCAUGAAAUGCGCUCAGGAUGCAGCAUACUUUGAGGAAGCUUGUUUUAUUCCAUAGAGCCUGAAGAUAAUCGAAAACCUCAAGGGGUCGAAUGAUCGGUCGAUCCUUUCGGUUCGCCAAAGUCGACAGGCAUAUCUGUUCGGGACAAAGUGCGGCACGAUCGUAAAUUAGCUGUACCGAUGACGUGUCGGAAGAUGGUUCCACGUGGACAAGGGGAUCGCCACAUGGCACGAGUCUAUGGGGCGGAGAAUGAAUGCGGUAUUCUUGGUAUAGUGAUAGCUUGGGUGGUGGCAUCGGAAGGCCGGUGUCAUCUGUUGCAUCGGUUACAUCCUGACUAGCAAAGCGUGACCGUGCUUGGUAACCGGCUACUAUAAAUGUGAUGUAGGGGAUUAAUUAUCUUCUAAUUGCCUAAUAGAACGUUGUCACUCGAAAUCGAUGGUUAAAAAUUGUUUUGUAACGAGCGAUCUUGUCAACAGGAAAUUUCUAAUUGUUAAAUCAUAUGAAGGAUAAAGUAUAACAAGAUCAUUUGUCACUUUAUUUAAAUUGUUUAAUAAAUUCUUUAAUAAAUUCUAAAUGUUAGAAUAAAUUUUGAAAACUA
Apis dorsata (giant honeybee) is the source of this 1086-nucleotide long non-coding RNA. RefSeq lists it as uncharacterized. NCBI's taxonomy places the organism in Eukaryota, Metazoa, Arthropoda, Insecta, Hymenoptera, Apidae. The transcript is spliced from 2 exons. The record is from RefSeq and is a predicted model, not a curated record.